This 2922-nucleotide ribosomal RNA is filed under the name Klebsiella pneumoniae. RNAcentral's name for it is "23S ribosomal RNA". It matches the Rfam family "Bacterial large subunit ribosomal RNA". Lineage: Bacteria; Pseudomonadati; Pseudomonadota; Gammaproteobacteria; Enterobacterales; Enterobacteriaceae. The record is from RNAcentral.
GGGUUGUGAGGUUAAGCGACUAAGCGUACACGGUGGAUGCCCUGGCAGUCAGAGGCGAUGAAGGACGUGCUAAUCUGCGAAAAGCGUCGGUAAGGUGAUAUGAACCGUUAUAGCCGGCGAUGUCCGAAUGGGGAAACCCAGUGCAAUUCGUUGCACUAUCGUUAACUGAAUACAUAGGUUAACGAGGCGAACCGGGGGAACUGAAACAUCUAAGUACCCCGAGGAAAAGAAAUCAACCGAGAUUCCCCCAGUAGCGGCGAGCGAACGGGGAGCAGCCCAGAGUCUGAAUCAGCUUGUGUGUUAGUGGAACGGUCUGGAAAGUCCGACGGUACAGGGUGAUAGUCCCGUACACCAAAAUGCACAGGUUGUGAACUCGAAGAGUAGGGCGGGACACGUGGUAUCCUGUCUGAAUAUGGGGGGACCAUCCUCCAAGGCUAAAUACUCCUGACUGACCGAUAGUGAACCAGUACCGUGAGGGAAAGGCGAAAAGAACCCCGGCGAGGGGAGUGAAAAAGAACCUGAAACCGUGUACGUACAAGCAGUGGGAGCACCUUCGGGUGUGACUGCGUACCUUUUGUAUAAUGGGUCAGCGACUUAUAUUCUGUAGCAAGGUUAACCGUAUAGGGAGCCGCAGGGAAACCGAGUCUUAACUGGGCGUUAAGUUGCAGGGUAUAGACCCGAAACCCGGUGAUCUAGCCAUGGGCAGGUUGAAGGUUGGGUAACACUAACUGGAGGACCGAACCGACUAAUGUUGAAAAAUUAGCGGAUGACUUGUGGCUGGGGGUGAAAGGCCAAUCAAACCGGGAGAUAGCUGGUUCUCCCGAAAGCUAUUUAGGUAGCGCCUCGUGAAUUCAUCUUCGGGGGUAGAGCACUGUUUCGGCUAGGGGGUCAUCCCGACUUACCAACCCGAUGCAAACUACGAAUACCGAAGAAUGUUAUCACGGGAGACACACGGCGGGUGCUAACGUCCGUCGUGAAGAGGGAAACAACCCAGACCGCCAGCUAAGGUCCCAAAGUCAUGGUUAAGUGGGAAACGAUGUGGGAAGGCACAGACAGCCAGGAUGUUGGCUUAGAAGCAGCCAUCAUUUAAAGAAAGCGUAAUAGCUCACUGGUCGAGUCGGCCUGCGCGGAAGAUGUAACGGGGCUAAACCAUGCACCGAAGCUGCGGCAGCGACACUAUGUGUUGUUGGGUAGGGGAGCGUUCUGUAAGCCUGCGAAGGUGUGCUGUGAGGCAUGCUGGAGGUAUCAGAAGUGCGAAUGCUGACAUAAGUAACGAUAAAGCGGGUGAAAAGCCCGCUCGCCGGAAGACCAAGGGUUCCUGUCCAACGUUAAUCGGGGCAGGGUGAGUCGACCCCUAAGGCGAGGCCGAAAGGCGUAGUCGAUGGGAAACAGGUUAAUAUUCCUGUACUUGGUGUUACUGCGAAGGGGGGACGGAGAAGGCUAUGUUAGCCGGGCGACGGUUGUCCCGGUUUAAGCAUGUAGGCUGGUUGUCCAGGCAAAUCCGGAUAAUCAAGGCUGAGGUGUGAUGACGAGGCACUACGGUGCUGAAGUAACAAAUGCCCUGCUUCCAGGAAAAGCCUCUAAGCAUCAGGUAACAUUAAAUCGUACCCCAAACCGACACAGGUGGUCAGGUAGAGAAUACCAAGGCGCUUGAGAGAACUCGGGUGAAGGAACUAGGCAAAAUGGUGCCGUAACUUCGGGAGAAGGCACGCUGGUGUGUAGGUGAAGUCCCUGCGGAUGGAGCUGAGACCAGUCGAAGAUACCAGCUGGCUGCAACUGUUUAUUAAAAACACAGCACUGUGCAAACACGAAAGUGGACGUAUACGGUGUGACGCCUGCCCGGUGCCGGAAGGUUAAUUGAUGGGGUUAUCCGUAAGGAGAAGCUCUUGAUCGAAGCCCCGGUAAACGGCGGCCGUAACUAUAACGGUCCUAAGGUAGCGAAAUUCCUUGUCGGGUAAGUUCCGACCUGCACGAAUGGCGUAAUGAUGGCCAGGCUGUCUCCACCCGAGACUCAGUGAAAUUGAACUCGCUGUGAAGAUGCAGUGUACCCGCGGCAAGACGGAAAGACCCCGUGAACCUUUACUAUAGCUUGACACUGAACAUUGAGCCUUGAUGUGUAGGAUAGGUGGGAGGCUUUGAAGCGUGGACGCCAGUCUGCGUGGAGCCAACCUUGAAAUACCACCCUUUAAUGUUUGAUGUUCUAACGUUGGCCCCUUACCGGGGUUGCGGACAGUGUCUGGUGGGUAGUUUGACUGGGGCGGUCUCCUCCCAAAGCGUAACGGAGGAGCACGAAGGUUAGCUAAUCCUGGUCGGACAUCAGGAGGUUAGUGCAAUGGCAUAAGCUAGCUUGACUGCGAGCGUGACGGCGCGAGCAGGUGCGAAAGCAGGUCAUAGUGAUCCGGUGGUUCUGAAUGGAAGGGCCAUCGCUCAACGGAUAAAAGGUACUCCGGGGAUAACAGGCUGAUACCGCCCAAGAGUUCAUAUCGACGGCGGUGUUUGGCACCUCGAUGUCGGCUCAUCACAUCCUGGGGCUGAAGUAGGUCCCAAGGGUAUGGCUGUUCGCCAUUUAAAGUGGUACGCGAGCUGGGUUUAGAACGUCGUGAGACAGUUCGGUCCCUAUCUGCCGUGGGCGCUGGAGAAUUGAGGGGGGCUGCUCCUAGUACGAGAGGACCGGAGUGGACGCAUCACUGGUGUUCGGGUUGUCAUGCCAAUGGCACUGCCCGGUAGCUAAAUGCGGAAGAGAUAAGUGCUGAAAGCAUCUAAGCACGAAACUUGCCCCGAGAUGAGUUCUCCCCUGAGACUUUAAGUCUCCUGAAGGAACGUUGAAGACGACGACGUUGAUAGGCCGGGUGUGUAAGCGCAGCGAUGCGUUGAGCUAACCGGUACUAAUGAACCGUGAGGCUUAACCUUACAACGCCGAAG